Molecule: ribosomal RNA, 1073 nt
Filed under: fungal endophyte
Lineage: Eukaryota; Fungi
Description: eukaryotic LSU rRNA
Rfam family: Eukaryotic large subunit ribosomal RNA (bases 477-1073)
Source: RNAcentral
CGGAGGGUCAUUAUAGAGUUUUCUAAACUCCCAACCCAUGUGAACUUACCUUUUGUUGCCUCGGCAGAAGUUAUAGGUCUUCUUAUAGCUGCUGCCGGUGGACCAUUAAACUCUUGUUAUUUUAUGUAAUCUGAGCGUCUUAUUUUAAUAAGUCAAAACUUUCAACAACGGAUCUCUUGGUUCUGGCAUCGAUGAAGAACGCAGCGAAAUGCGAUAAGUAAUGUGAAUUGCAGAAUUCAGUGAAUCAUCGAAUCUUUGAACGCACAUUGCGCCCAUUAGUAUUCUAGUGGGCAUGCCUGUUCGAGCGUCAUUUCAACCCUUAAGCCUAGCUUAGUGUUGGGAAUCUACUUCUCUUAGGAGUUGUAGUUCCUGAAAUACAACGGCGGAUUUGUAGUAUCCUCUGAGCGUAGUAAUUUUUUUCUCGCUUUUGUUAGGUGCUAUAACUCCCAGCCGCUAAACCCCCAAUUUUUUGUGGUUGACCUCGGAUCAGGUAGGAAUACCCGCUGAACUUAAGCAUAUCAAUAAGCGGAGGAAAAGAAACCAACAGGGAUUGCCUUAGUAACGGCGAGUGAAGCGGCAACAGCUCAAAUUUGAAAUCUGGCCCUUGGGUCCGAAUUGUAAUUUGUAGAGGAUGAUUUUGGUGCGGUAUCUUCCGAGUUCCUUGGAACAGGACGCCUUAGAGGGUGAGAGCCCCGUACGGUUGAAUGCCUAGCCUCUGUAAAUCUCCUUCGACGAGUCGAGUAGUUUGGGAAUGCUGCUCUAAAUGGGAGGUAAAUUUCUUCUAAAGCUAAAUAUUGGCCAGAGACCGAUAGCGCACAAGUAGAGUGAUCGAAAGAUGAAAAGCACUUUGAAAAGAGGGUUAAAUAGCACGUGAAAUUGUUGAAAGGGAAGGAUUUGUGACCAGACUUUUUCUGGGCGGAUCAUCCGGGGUUCUCUCCGGUGCACUUCGCCCAGUAAAGGCCAGCAUCGGUUUUCGGCGUGGGAUAAAAGCAGUAGGAAUGUGGCUCUCUACGGGGAGUGUUAUAGCCUAUUGUAUAAUACCGCGCUGGGGACCGAGGUUCGCGCUUCUGCAA